RNAcentral lists this ribosomal RNA (269 nucleotides) under uncultured bacterium. RNAcentral describes it as "partial 16S ribosomal RNA". It matches the Rfam family "Bacterial small subunit ribosomal RNA", at positions 87 to 354 of the family's 1533-position model. The record is from RNAcentral.
CCCGGCGACCGGCGCACGGGUGAGUAACACGUAUGCAACCUGGCCGCCACAGGGGGAUGACCCGCGGAAACGCGGCCUAAUACCCCGUGACGCCACCGGAGGGCAUCCUCCGGUGGCCAAAGGAGCGAUCCGGUGGCGGAUGGGCAUGCGGCGCAUUAGCUAGACGGCGGGGUGACGGCCCACCGUGGCGACGAUGCGUAGGGGUUCUGAGAGGAAGGCCCCCCACACUGGGACUGAGACACGGCCCAGACUCCUACGGAAGGCAGCAG